ACCGAAGGUGGAAAGACGCGGGGCAGCGGGAGAAGCCAGCAACUCUCAAAGCUCUCAGGACGGACGGGGAGGGAAAAGGAGACCGGCGGGGACAAUGACGGGGCGGGGCGAGGAGCAGCCGAGCGACUGAACGUCGGGAGUGGGAACGAGGCUAUUCAUACUCCCGCCGGCCGGGCGGGAAAAGGGGCGGGACCCGGGCCUUAACCCCUGGAGUUCGGGAAGUGGGGCGGGCCCGUGUCCGUGCGCCCCGCUGUGCUGGAGCCUGGAGCCCAGCGGAACGCCUGCCUGGGAAACCCGAUCCCACGGAGUGGCUUUCUGAGGGAGGAGGCCGUGCCCACAACUGAGCCUGGGGACGGGGCCGGGGGACCUAGGCCUGGGGGGCGGGAGGCAGCGGGGCGAGUCCCAGUUACUCAGCACACCCAGGAGGGGUACCACUCACGUAAUUCCUCUAAGACUCGGUGUCUUCAUCCAUAAAAUGGGAGCAACGAUGGGCAUCUCACGGAGCCGCUGGACGUUGGUUUGUUUUGCAGAUAGAAACGCCGGGAGAAGGCGGCGUUGCAGAGGACAGAGGGACCCCGCCUGGAAAACAAGAACAAAUACGUUCUGUUGCGAGGCGCAGCACGCGCACACUCACCGGGAAACCGGGAGAUGUGGGCAGGGGGUGCGCACCCCACUACUCACCUCCGUCCUUCCUACCGCUCUUCCGGACGACCCGAGGCUCACAAUCCCACUUUGCAGAGAGAAAGACAGCAAGAGAGGAAACACAGCCGGGUGAGUAGGAGAGGGAGAAGCAGGCUCCCCACUGAACAGGGAGCCCGAUGCGGGGCUCCAUCCCAGGACUCUGGGAUCAUGAUCUGAGCCACCUAGGCACCCCAUUUUUAAGAUUUUAUUUAUUCAUUUGACACACAGAGAGGGCACAAGCAGGAGGAGCAGCAGGCAGAGGGAGAAGCAAGCUCUCCGCUGAGCAGGGAGCCCCACGUGGGACUCGAUCCGAGGACCCUGGGACCCUGACCUGAGCCGAAGGCAGCCUCUUAACCAGCUGAGCUACCCUGGGGAAGGAAUUUCUGCUCCGGUAGAUCCAGUUUAGGCUAGGAAGUGUUAACGCGUAUCUGCUGUGUCAGUGCCCAGCCCCAGGAGCUCCUAGCCUGGUCUGUGAGGGCAGCAGUGACGGGCGCUCAGGGCCUGCUGGUGGAGGUAAUUAGAGAGAGAUUAUUACAGUACUUAGCUCCCAAAGUGUCCACGGAGAGCUGGGGGAGCACAGAGCAUGGACAGGGUUUCCGGGUGGGGGGUGAACAGGGUCUGUGGCCAGAAGGCUGUCCCAUCAAUACCCCCACCCCUGUCCCUGGGCCAGCUGGGCUUUGGAAUUCACUACCAAUCGUGGACUGGAGGCCUGAGAGGGGCCAGUGGGUGUAGAAUGGGGGGGGUCAGCGCAGACUCGAGGCUGAGGCUUCUCCGUCCUCACGUUACCCCACAAAACCAGCUGUCCGGCCCAGGCUGAGCUCCCGAGACCCGUGUCUGGGAGAGAGCACCGCCUCUGACUUCUGCACUUGCUGGUUAAAUGACCUUGGGCAGACGGCGUAACUUCUCUAAGUGACCCUCCUCGGUGCGCGUAACUUCUCUAAGUGACCCUCCUCGGUGCGCCGGGAUGGGAAAGGAGGCUAACACCCACUCCCAUAAGCUCGUCCCGAAGAUCAAGCGAGACCAUGUGGGGGAAGUCUUUGACGACCAUCCCCACGAAGGCCAUUACCCAGGAGCAAAAUCUCCCAUGAACUCUGGUGGUGAGUUUGGGGAUCACGGGGGGCAGAGAUGCUCUGGAAUGCUGGAGAAGAGUGCAGGAUUGAUUUUCCAAAGGUGGGAGACGGUGGGUUCCAGCAACCACAGCUGGGAGAGCCACACUGACGCGCAGCACAUUGUAAACGGAUAAGUGAUGUUUGAAAGGAUGACCAAGUCAGGAAAAGAAGGCCUUCCGUGGGGGACCAGCAGGCACUCAGCAGGCACAGGGAGGGCCAAAUGGCCUCCUCUCCUCCCCUGGGGUUACACUGGAUUACCGGGAUUUUUGUGAGGCCUUUGGGUGUAUAUCUCCUGUCCCGGGCCCAGGACACAGGGACCACGUGAUACGACAGUGGGCAGAUACAAAGUUCAGUGGCCAUCCCCAGAGAUGUCUCUCAGAAAGUGGAGGAAGUCUCUGUGGGCCGCCCUGCACGGUUCCGUCCUCCGCCUUGACUGUCACAGAUUUUUGUUAAAGACCGGGAUGAAAGCCCAGAAGCCCCAUGUGUCCAAUCUACAGAUCAUGCAAGAACUAAGAGUUAGAUUCUGACCGAAUAGAAAAAAAUGAACCAAAUAAUUGGGAUACAUGUAAAGAUCUGUUUUGGGUUUCAAAGGCAACAGCCUAAGGAGGGAACAGUGAAGAGGAGAGCUGAUCCACUGAAGACAGCCUGAGGGUCCUAGCAGACCACAGCUCAUCAUGAACCAAGACUGUAAAAUGGCUGCCCAACCAAGUAAGCGAUUAAUGGACGCAGGGUGUGCAGACCAGAGGUGGUGACGGCCCCGUUGCCCUCCAUGAAGUGGAGGGUAGUUCUGGACACCAUAUUUUAAGAGGGACCUUGAGAGGUUGGAAUUGAGCCCAGGGGAAGAAGACGGGGCAGCAAGAGAACUUGGAGCAAUGUUUGUUGAAGACCUUCUCAAUCAGCUCACACCCCAGCUAAGCUCCAAAGCUAAGAGCAGCGGCCUCUGAGCAUCACACACCCCUGAAGAGCGUUCCCAGGGCCGCCGGGAAGGCCUCUGCGGCCCGUCUUCAUGGGGAAGGCCCUGCUGGGGUGCAGGCCAGCCCUGGAAGGCAGGCUGCAGCUUCCCCUUCUCAGCUCAGAGGGGAAGCGUGACGCCCCCCAAGGCGUCCGGGGGCUCCGGGGGACCAGUCCUCAGGGGUGGGGGUCCCCCUGAAGGGCACCCUGGUGUCCCACUCCUGGGUGGGGAGCUUGCUGAGUAAGGGGAACAGACUGUGGGGAAGGACCCGGGGCAUAGAGGGCACCGCAGGGAGGGACAGGUGAGGUUUGGUGUGCCAAGAGGACCUGGGAAAGGAGCCCCCAUGGGGCCACAAGCGCCCCGCCCCCGGGGGGAGGUCCACGCCUGAGGGGGGCUGACUUGCAGCUCUGGGUAAGCAGCGCUCAGCCCUGUUUCCCCCUCCUGCAGAGGACAAAGGAGCUCGGAGGGGUCUGCCAGAUAUCCUGAAAGGACCGGAGAGGGAGAUACAGCAGCGUGUUAUCCCGGGCCCCGGUCAGGGAGGUGUCAGAUGGUCACAUUCUGGUUACCUCUCCUCUCCCACCUUCUUGCCUCAGAAUGCAGAGGCCAGGGGGCGCCUGGGUGGCACAGCGGUUAAGUCUCUGCCUUCAGCUCAGGGCGUGAUCCCGGCGUUAUGGGAUCGAGCCCCACAUCAGGCUCUUCUGCUAUGAGCCUGCUUCUUCCUCUCCCACUCCCCCUGCUUGUGUCCCCUCUCUCGCUGGCUGUCUCUCUCUCUGUCGAAAAAAAAAAAAAAAAAAAAAGAAUGCAGAGGCCAGGGCAUCUGUCGCUGACUUAGCCCCUCUUUGCCUCCCUGUCCUGCUCCUUCCAACCGGCUGCCCUGCGGCCGGCAUGGGGCCGGCGUGGGGCCAGCAUGGGGCUGGCUUGGCCAUCUCUCUUCCACAGCAGGGCAGGCGGCCUUCCCAGCCUCCAUUCUGGCCAGGCGGCUGAGGGACUGCAGGUAGGGUGGAAAGAGCACUGAACAGAAGAGUCUGCCCCUCUAGGCCACUUGGGGGCGUCAGUGCAUCCCUCUGGUCUUGGUUUUCUCAGUGCAUUGGAACAGUACUCAGGAGCCCCUCUUGAAUGCCAAGAGCACCCUACACACUGAAUAAAUACUGCGAAGGAAUCACAGAGGACUCGUGUGGACCCCCAUCCCCGGGAGCGUCUGGGCAUAUGGGACACGUGCGGGCUACAGUGUGAUCCCUAGAUGAGCAGGGAAAGCAGGGGGCAGUGUGGCUAAAGUGGGGCCUUUGCCUCGAGGCAGCGAGGAGUCAUGGGAGGGUUUUAACCUCAGUCUAAGGGUAACCUGGUCAGAUGACUAUCUUAGGAAGAUCGCUGCGGAGAACUGAGGUGGGGGGCGGGAGAGACAGCAAGCAUGGCUGGUCAUGAGGCUGUUGCCAACACCAGGGCUUGACAUGAUGAGACCUGAGCCAGGGGGUGGAGAGGAGGAAAGAGACAUGGGAAUACUUAGAAUGUCAGUUCCAGAAAGAGUGAGAUGUGGGGAUGGAGGGAGGGGACCGGGAAGACCCCGUGCUUGUGGCCUGGGGAGGGGUGCAGGGCGAGGCUCUGAUUUAGAAGGGUGAAGCCCCAGCGUGGUGGGUGGGGGGACCAUGAGCGUACAUGAGGCCACUCCGGGAGAGAAGGUACAGAGACGCUUUGUCCCCUUCUGCCUC
Ailuropoda melanoleuca (giant panda) is the source of this 4448-nucleotide long non-coding RNA. Lineage: Eukaryota; Metazoa; Chordata; Mammalia; Carnivora; Ursidae. The record is from Ensembl.